This 76-nucleotide transfer RNA is filed under the name Abditibacteriota bacterium. RNAcentral describes it as "tRNA-Met(cat)". It matches the Rfam family "tRNA". From Rfam's summary of the family: Transfer RNA (tRNA) molecules are approximately 80 nucleotides in length. The record is from RNAcentral. Lineage: Bacteria; Pseudomonadati; Abditibacteriota.
GAAAGCUGUCAUCUAAUCGGAAAGAUGCUCGUCUCAUACACGAGAGAAUGAGGGUUCAAAUCCUUCCGGCGUUCUC